UGUGUCAAUUCACCUAUUCAUGGGUUUUGGCCUGUUGUAUAAUUAAUAAUAAUAUGUAUAAAUAAAUAAAUGAAAUUAAGUACAAGACAGAAGCAGAAAAUUUUCCCAAGAUUUUGACAACUGAGAGGAUUUAAGUUUGGAUAAAACGUUUAUAGCGCGUUUAUUUCUGUUGCUUUGUUUUUCAACUUGCUUUAAGCAGGAAGUUCAAGGAGGCUUUCACACUAAGCUUUUUGGUCUGCACCAUCAUGUGGCAUUGUCCGAAUACGCAAUCAUCUUUAGAAAACACGGUCACAGUUUCAGUGUUUGUUUGUUUUUAUCGGCUCCAUAUUUUCUAAAAAUACAUUUCUUGAUGUUUUGAAGGUGCAAAGGUACCCUAAUUGACUUUUUUUUCAACCAUUUUUUUUCUUUAAUAAAAAAGUUCCCAGUGGUGUUUAUAUUAUUGUUAUGUAGUUUUUAUCCCAAAAGGCCAUAUUUCAUGUUUAUCUGAAGCACCGUUCUGCAAGCUUGGUUUUACAUAAGUGAAGGGCUUAGCACAAGGGGAGGGGCACAAAUGACAGUGACUGACAGUCUCUAUUCUUCAAAGCUUCUCUUUAGCGAUAAAGAAACUGUAAAUAAAACUGGCAUAGUUUUGGUUCCAAAUGAACACUUUUUAUGUGUUUCAAUAUUGAGUCAAUGGUACAGACGCGAUCUGAGGUCUUAUGGCGCGAAUUGUGCAGCAAAUGCGGCGCAAAGGUCUGGCAGCAGCGCAGUUUAAAGCAGCGCAGCAACAUUUGGUACCCGUCUGGACCAAAUCGCCCAACAGUUCCCGUCUCGACAAGCAGUACCUGUUAGAACCAAAGGCGGGCACACCUUAAGACGUCUGGCGCAGGGUGGGUUGAGCUGGAGGGAUCUCGAACAAUAGCUCCGCUCCCGGGAGGCGAGCUGUGGAGACCCUGUUGCUUUAAAAGUAAAGCUGCUUUUUCUUUGUGGGUUAUUUGGGUCUCUCAUUGAGUAUAAUGUGAAAUUUCUCAUUGAAAUACACCAUUGAAUUUCACAAUAAUUGCGUAAAAUGGCUUUAGUAUGAAUCAAAGGCUUUUAAACAAAUUAAUGAAAUUAUGAGCCUCUCUCCGUUUCUUUCACAAAAACCCAUCAUCAUCAGGCAUGAGUGGUCUUCCAUGAGGAGUGCCUCCCAUGGGAGGCAGAACAACCCUCACCCUCCUGGAAUGGUAGAGGACAAAGAUGCCCAACAGGAAUAUGCCCCACCGAGAAGGGGGGUGGGACCUCCUCUCACCACCUGCUCUACAUGCCCUCAGGUAAUGUGACGGAGUGACCAGGAGCCGGAACUGCUGCUGUGGAUACGAUUUAAAACCGAACAGUUGGAUGUUUAUUUUAUGGUUGUACUUUUUGUUAAAACCUUGGACACGAUUUCCAGUGCUCCGAUAGCUCUUUAGCAUGGCACCAUAAAGGUGAGGAGUAAGAAAAGCUCAUUCUCUUUCAUGCAACAGCUCCUUUGUUUCAACAUUUAAGGACCUAUGAAGGUAACGGUGGUGCCGCUGCUGCUCAAGUCUUUGGAUUUUUGUCAAAAGCAAACUUAAAGAAGAUGGAGCAACAUUUGGGAAACAACACAGCAAUAUUGACAUGAUUGAUGUCAUGAUAAUUGAUAGUCUAUGUCAAAGUGUGCACUAGCUGCAAAUUGUUGUUGCACAUUAUUAAAAACAUCCAAUCUUAAUUAAUUAAACCAAACAUCAUCUGACGAAUUAGCCAGCCGACACAUUUGUGGUGCAUAUUAAUGAUUUUUGACAACAAACAUUGCUUUUAUAGCUAUAUGGUUUAUUUCUUUAUUUUUUGGUUUAUCAAUGUUACUAAAGUGUAAUGCCAGAUUAUCUUUCAUGAUGAGGAAAUAAAGAAAAAAACAGGGGGAAGUCAAUGCACAUGGACGUCAAUGGGAGAUUCUCAAAUAAGCUCCCAGUGGUCAUUUUGGGAACUGUAAGGCAGGGUACUUCCGGGUUUGAGACCCGGUCCCGGGAACGGAAGUGGGGGUCUUGGUGGAAACGAAGACGCAAAGAGGCGGAGGAACUCAGAGAAGAGGAUGAGUCCACGGAGCACAAAGGAACAGAGAGAGAGGAAACACAAAGGAGGAAGCCAAGGACGGGAAAAGGAGGAAGCAGAGAGAGGCCGACGGACGCAGAAAAAGCCGGCAGACAUGACAGAAACGGACCGACUUCACUGCCUGCUUCCCGUUCUUUUCUAAGGUAAGAUUGGACUGCCGCCGGCAAGGGCUGUCAGGUAAUAAGUGAUCGAGGUCGAAGAGGUCGAGCGCCGUGGAGUGGUAACUAAUGCCCCUGCUGGUGUGGGGAAUCAUGAGAUUGAUUAGAAAAACUUUUACUAUAAAAACAUGAAUAUUUUUGUUAAACAA
Long non-coding RNA from Oryzias latipes (Japanese medaka), 2395 nucleotides. RefSeq lists it as uncharacterized. The record is from RefSeq and is a predicted model, not a curated record. NCBI's taxonomy places the organism in Eukaryota, Metazoa, Chordata, Actinopteri, Beloniformes, Adrianichthyidae.